Sebastes umbrosus (honeycomb rockfish) is the source of this 408-nucleotide long non-coding RNA. RefSeq lists it as uncharacterized. The transcript has 2 exons. The record is from RefSeq and is a predicted model, not a curated record. Lineage: Eukaryota; Metazoa; Chordata; Actinopteri; Perciformes; Sebastidae.
AAAAAAGUGAAGCCGCCUCCUCACAGUAUCAGGGUGGAGUAUUUCCUGGUGGCAGCAGCCGCACAGAAGAAGCCCGCACUUAGAGACACAAGCAUGCACGGCCGAGUCGAGCCGGAAACGCUCUGAGCGAAGCGGCUGACUCCACACACACCAAGCAGUCCAUGAUCGGCCAGCUGGAAGCUCCCGCAUGGCUGUGAGCACAAAUCACGAGCUACAGCACGCACGAUGGCAGAGGGGCAGAUGGGUUUCCUGUUUCUGGAGCUCAUUUACCACUUCCUUUUACGGCGGAAACCUGCAGCUUUGAGUCUCUGCUGACUUCACCCAGGACCUCGGAGGCCCCUAGACCUCAGUUUGAGAACUAGUGAGGGGGAGGAGCUGCUGGUUUGGUAAAAUACUAUUUCAAGAUUU